Molecule: ribosomal RNA, 484 nt
Filed under: uncultured bacterium
Lineage: Bacteria
Description: partial 16S ribosomal RNA
Rfam family: Bacterial small subunit ribosomal RNA
Source: RNAcentral
AUUGAACGCUGGCGGCAGGCCUAACACAUGCAAGUCGAGCGGAUGAAGGGAGCUUGCUCCUGGAUUCAGCGGCGGACGGGUGAGUAAUGCCUAGGAAUCUGCCUGGUAGUGGGGGAUAACGUCCGGAAACGGGCGCUAAUACCGCAUACGUCCUGAGGGAGAAAGUGGGGGAUCUUCGGACCUCACGCUAUCAGAUGAGCCUAGGUCGGAUUAGCUAGUUGGUGGGGUAAAGGCCUACCAAGGCGACGAUCCGUAACUGGUCUGAGAGGAUGAUCAGUCACACUGGAACUGAGACACGGUCCAGACUCCUACGGGAGGCAGCAGUGGGGAAUAUUGGACAAUGGGCGAAAGCCUGAUCCAGCCAUGCCGCGUGUGUGAAGAAGGUCUUCGGAUUGUAAAGCACUUUAAGUUGGGAGGAAGGGCAAUAAGUUAAUACCUUGCUGUUUUGACGUUACCAACAGAAUAAGCACUGGCUAACUUCGUG